Molecule: non-coding RNA, 1800 nt
Organism: Chanos chanos (milkfish)
Lineage: Eukaryota; Metazoa; Chordata; Actinopteri; Gonorynchiformes; Chanidae
Source: the annotation of a RefSeq genome assembly
AUGACACAGGAAAAAGUCACAGCUGCUUGUGUGGUGCAUGCCCCAUACGGCACUAAAGUUUCAUGGCUUAAGAAUGGACUUGAGGAUAAGACAUCAAUCAUGCACGCAAACAGUGAAACUCAAAGCAUUAUCAGCAACCUGACACUGUCCAAAAAUAAAUGGAAUACACUGACAACUCUAACAUGCAAAGCUGUGCAUCCGUGUUUUAAAGAAGUACAGAAGACCAUCACAUUAAAAGAAUCUGUGAAGGAAUCUCCUACAGUGGUGAUCAGGAGGUCUUUCUCAGAGUUUCUGAAGAAUAACAGUGCUAUGUUGGAGUGCGUUGUGGGAAACAUCUCCUCUGGUGAGGUCUCCAUCACCUUCCAGGUCAACGGAGAAGAUCAUCCCGAAGCCCAGUAUAUAGAUCUUUCUGAGUCCAAUGAGCUGCACUCUUUAACCACACUAUUUACUGUUCCUAAUUCCAAAUACCAAAAAAACAACCAGUUUACCUGCAAAGUUCUCAAAAGCCCAACCAGUGAAUGGUUGUCCAGUCCCAUUUCAAAUUUGUUUGGUGAUCCUGUUGUGGAACUCUCUGUGAAACCCAGUAGUGAGACACCAGGUUCUGAGUCCCAGAAACUUUUGUGCUCUGGAACAGGAUUCAAUCCAAAGAUUAAAUGGCUCUCAAAAUCUGGGCAAAAUAUUGAUGCAACCACUGAAAUUACAAUGGGCAAAGAUGGACGUGUGACUAUUACCAGUGAGGUUUCAGUAAAAAAGCAAGAUUGGAACCAAGGGUCACAGUUCACCUGUGAGGUCAAUGAUCCUGACCUUCUGAAAACUAUAAAGAAGGAUAUCAGUGUUUGUUCAGUUCAUCAGUUCUCCUCACCAUCCAUUCACAUUGAGAGACCAUCACUGCGGAAUGUUAUGACACAGGAAGAAGUCACAGCUGCUUGUGUGGUGCAUGCCCCAUACGGCACUAAAGUUUCAUGGCUUAAGAAUGGACUUGAGGAUAAGACAUCAAUCAUACAUGCAAACAGUGAAACUCAAAGCAUUAUCAGCAACCUGACACUGUCCAAAAAUGAAUGGAAUACACUGACAACUCUAACAUGCAAAGCUGUGCAUCAGUGUUUUAAAGUACAGAAGACCAUCACAUUAAAAGCCUCAGUGACUCCCUCCAGUCCCUCUGCAACUUUACUACAAGGUCCCGGGGAGCUGGUGUGUAUGGCGUUUGGUUACAGUCCAUCUGACAUCACCAUCACCUGGUUACUGAACAGCGACUUUGAGCAAUCUGACUUCACUGUCAGCGACCCGGCAAAAGGGUCAGAUGGAAAAUUCAUUGUGUAUAGUCGCCUGCGUCUUCUGCCCUCAGAUUGGGCACCUGGAGCAGUGUAUACCUGCAGGAUCAACCACACCACUGGCAUUUUCUUAUUCAAUGUCUCCAAACCAGAAAUCAUUGAGGAGAGCAUAUACUUUGAUGACAAUAAGGCUGAUGAGAUCCUAAACGAUACAGCAGAGGAAACCUGGAACUUGGCAUGUGCCUUCCUCGUCCUCUUCUUUUUCUCUCUAAUCUAUGGAUGCUCAGUAACACUGGUGAAGAUCUACCAGUUCCAAGAGGAUGAGCGACUACUCGAUCUGCUGGCCACAGAAGCCUCCCACAUUCCUGACAACAACACCAUGCUUCCCUGGCAUGGUCCCAUAGAGCUAGAGCUGCCGUCCCAUGAACAGGAUCCCUGGCCCAGGUUUGUAGCCAAACCCAAGGCACAGAUCUGUUCCACACCUGCUCCCUCGGAAACCUGGAUUGUCUUCCAGGGUGACAAGAAAUGA